RNAcentral lists this long non-coding RNA (298 nucleotides) under Zostera marina. RNAcentral describes it as "long non-coding RNA (ZMAR_LNC000825)". Lineage: Eukaryota; Viridiplantae; Streptophyta; Magnoliopsida; Alismatales; Zosteraceae. The record is from RNAcentral.
GUCGGCGACUGCCAGCCGUGUCUCGCCGAUUCCCCUUACGGGAUCGGCGACUCGUAUGCUGGAGUCGGCGACUCUGAUGCCUACUGAUGAUGAUUCUUCCGCGCGUCGCACCGCACCAUUGGUCGUGAGCGCGGAGGGCCGGAUUGUGUCGGGACUGAACCCGAGCCAAGGUCCUUCUCUGAAGAGGAAGAGAAGGCGCACCACCGGGAAGGGCAAAGUACAUGUGCCCGAGGAAAAUGAAGGGGUCCCUCCUCCUCUCAAUGUUAACAUCGAGGAGACUCUGAUAGUGGACCGUGGU